This 465-nucleotide ribosomal RNA is filed under the name Vreelandella stevensii. Its description in RNAcentral is "partial 16S ribosomal RNA". It matches the Rfam family "Bacterial small subunit ribosomal RNA", at positions 338 to 795 of the family's 1533-position model. Lineage: Bacteria; Pseudomonadati; Pseudomonadota; Gammaproteobacteria; Oceanospirillales; Halomonadaceae. The record is from RNAcentral.
CCUACGGGUGGCUGCAGUGGGGAAUAUUGGACAAUGGGCGAAAGCCUGAUCCAGCCAUGCCGCGUGUGUGAAGAAGGCCUUCGGGUUGUAAAGCACUUUCAGUGGGGAAGAAAGCCUUGGGGCUAAUACCCUCGAGGAAGGACAUCACCCACAGAAGAAGCACCGGCUAACUCCGUGCCAGCAGCCGCGGUAAUACGGAGGGUGCGAGCGUUAAUCGGAAUUACUGGGCGUAAAGCGCGCGUAGGCGGUCUGAUAAGCCGGUUGUGAAAGCCCCGGGCUCAACCUGGGAACGGCAUCCGGAACUGUCAGGCUAGAGUGUAGGAGAGGAAGGUAGAAUUCCCGGUGUAGCGGUGAAAUGCGUAGAGAUCGGGAGGAAUACCAGUGGCGAAGGCGGCCUUCUGGACUGACACUGACGCUGAGGUGCGAAAGCGUGGGUAGCAAACAGGAUUAGAUACCCGAGUAGUC